CUUGUCUCCGGGCUAUGAGUCGAUGCAUGGGAGUCGCCAUCUUAGCGCGGCUGAGGUAUGCCGCGCUGAAUUUUGGGAAACUCCUCGGAAAGGGGCGGGGCUUCGAACGCAGAGGACGCAGGCGUGGGCGGAGCUAGCUCCGCCUCCGCGGCUUCUGGGCGGGGCGUGGAGCUGGGUCAGAGGUGUGGGCGUUUGGUUCGCCGAGGGAUGAGGUCGGGGGUCUGGUCUGAAUGGGGUUUGGAAGGGUCGGUACUUGUCCUGUUGACCCUGGAACGACACGGAUUCGAACAGUGCGGGUCCGCUUAUACACGGGUUUCCCCCUCACAAUAAAUACAGUUGUUCCUGCCUA
Molecule: long non-coding RNA, 349 nt
Organism: Myotis davidii
Lineage: Eukaryota; Metazoa; Chordata; Mammalia; Chiroptera; Vespertilionidae
Exons: 2
Source: RefSeq, a predicted model, not a curated record